RNAcentral lists this ribosomal RNA (440 nucleotides) under uncultured bacterium. RNAcentral's name for it is "partial 16S ribosomal RNA". It matches the Rfam family "Bacterial small subunit ribosomal RNA", at positions 338 to 795 of the family's 1533-position model. The record is from RNAcentral.
CCUACGGGAGGCAGCAGUGGGGAAUAUUGCACAAUGGGGGAAACCCUGAUGCAGCGACGCCGCGUGAGUGAAGAAGUAAUUCGUUACGUAAAGCUCUAUCAGCAGGGAAGAAAAUGACGGUAACUGAGUAAGAAGCCCCGGCUAACUACGUGCCAGCAGCCGCGGGAAUACGUAGGGGGCAAGCGUUAUCCGGAUUUACUGGGUGUAAAGGGAGCGGAGACGGUGCGCCAAGUCGGGAGUGAAAGCCCAGGGCUUAACCCUGGGACUGCUUUGGAAACUGUUAGACUAGAGUGCUGGAGAGGGAAGUGGAAUUCCUAGUGUAGCGGUGAAAUGCGUAGAUAUUAGGAGGAACACCAGUGGCGAAGGCGGCUUACUGGACAGUAACUGACGUUGAGGCUCGAAAGCGUGGGGAGCAAACAGGAUUAGAUACCCCUGUAGUC